UGACCAUCGAGAGAAGUUUUUAAUGGCC
RNAcentral lists this non-coding RNA (28 nucleotides) under Rattus norvegicus (Norway rat). The record is from RNAcentral. Lineage: Eukaryota; Metazoa; Chordata; Mammalia; Rodentia; Muridae.